This 253-nucleotide ribosomal RNA is filed under the name uncultured bacterium. Its description in RNAcentral is "partial 16S ribosomal RNA". It matches the Rfam family "Bacterial small subunit ribosomal RNA", at positions 524 to 776 of the family's 1533-position model. The record is from RNAcentral.
UACGGGGGGGGCAAGCGUUGUUCGGAAUUACUGGGCGUAAAGGGCUCGUAGGCGGCCAACUAAGUCAGACGUGAAAUCCCUCGGCUUAACCGGGGAACUGCGUCUGAUACUGGAUGGCUUGAGUUUGGGAGAGGGAUGCGGAAUUCCAGGUGUAGCGGCGAAAUGCGUAGAUAUCUGGAGGAACACCGGUGGCGAAGGCGGCAUCCUGGACCAACACUGACACUGAUGAGCGAAAGCCAGGGGAGCAAACGGG